AAAUUGAAGAGUUUGAUCAUGGCUCAGAUUGAACGCUGGCGGCAGGCCUAACACAUGCAAGUCGAACGGUAACAGGAAGCAGCUUGCUGCUUCGCUGACGAGUGGCGGACGGGUGAGUAAUGUCUGGGAAACUGCCUGAUGGAGGGGGAUAACUACUGGAAACGGUGGCUAAUACCGCAUAACGUCGCAAGACCAAAGAGGGGGACCUUCGGGCCUCUUGCCAUCGGAUGUGCCCAGAUGGGAUUAGCU
RNAcentral lists this ribosomal RNA (249 nucleotides) under Salmonella enterica subsp. enterica serovar Derby. Its description in RNAcentral is "partial 16S ribosomal RNA". It matches the Rfam family "Bacterial small subunit ribosomal RNA", at positions 1 to 246 of the family's 1533-position model. RNAcentral also lists the same sequence under 2 other names. Lineage: Bacteria; Pseudomonadati; Pseudomonadota; Gammaproteobacteria; Enterobacterales; Enterobacteriaceae. The record is from RNAcentral.